Molecule: long non-coding RNA, 2124 nt
Filed under: Equus asinus (donkey)
Lineage: Eukaryota; Metazoa; Chordata; Mammalia; Perissodactyla; Equidae
Description: lncRNA (ENSEASG00005034951.1)
Source: RNAcentral
GCUUGUGCACUUCUUUUAUUAUUAAAUAUAUAAGCAGCUUCCUAUUUUUUAAAUAGAUAUUUAAAUGACUUUAUAUAAAAUAAUUCACCACUUCCAAGUAUAAAAACAAAAUCUCACAGUGCGUGAGCCAAUGUUCCCUCUCGGCUUUCUCAGAGAAAAGAAAGGGUUGCUGUGUAGGUAGCCAGGGGAGCCACCCAGAGGUUGCUCUGGGGCCCCUCACACUCCUGUGUCACCAAGCGCCCACAGAGAGCUUCUGCAAUGGGUUGGGUUUGAUUUCUUGAUUUUUAAAAUACUAUAUGUUUAAGGGUAGGGGGUAGGGGAGGAAUGACUUCUUUCUGUGUUUUUUUCUUCCACUUUUAAAUACAUAUAUUCUAGUAUCAAAUAAAGAGUCUAUGACUAGAAGAAGGCGCCCCACAGGAAAGUUCUCCAUUGUCCCUCCUUCAGCUGACGGCCACAAGGCAGGGGAGGUGGGGGCCAGUGGACUCUCACUUUCAAGGGCAGGAAGGGAAGGUCAUGGGCUCCAGCCCAGUGGCCAGGUAGGUCGGGGUCUCUCAGCGGAGGGCCCAGGGCAGCAGGAGAGGAGGGACACUGCAGCACAGAAGGAUCAAGGACAAUCGGCAGCCCUGUUACCUGCUGCCCAGCUCUCAGAGCCGUGGCCAUGGGCUGGCCUAGAAAGCUGAGGCCCUCAAGGCAGACUUGGAAGCAGAUGCCUGGGCCCUCCUGGUCCCUCUCCGGCCAUGGCUUGCCUGGUCAGAGAGAUGGUGGUAUGGGGGUGGGGUGAGAGCUGGAGGGUAUCACUGCCUAACCGGCUGCUAACAGGGACAACCUGCUCAGCUCUGGGCGCCUGCCGGCAGUAGCCUUGUGGCUGUCUUUGGGUCAGGGGCCUGGUAUGGGGAAGGAGAUUGGGUUGGGGGUCAGGGGUGCAGAUGCCUCCCCCAACCUCAGGGUCAUACCCAUAAUUUCAAAGACCCAUUUCAGUCAGAGCUCACCCUGCAGCCUUUCUCUGUGUCUGUCUCUGCCCUCCCCUCCCCUUCUCCCUCCCACUAGUCACUUCCCUCUUGGGAAUGUCAAAGUGCAAGAUGCAGAAACCUGGGCGAGCAACGCAGCCUAAAGACCAGCUCUAGCAACGCAGCCUAAAGACCAGCUCUAGCUGGCAGCCCAGGCAGUUCUCCCACCCUGAUCCACCCCCGGCAGACUCAACGGCCGGGUCAGCAGAAGGUCAGGGCUUAGGGGCUCCCUCAGUCGACAGACAGGCGAGGCCGGCUCAGGCACUCAGUGUAGGAGAAUGGGGAGAGGCCAGAGGGGUGGGAGGACGGACAGAUGUUCAUUCAUGGGCAAGGACGGGGCAGGCUGUUCAGCAGGCAGGUUCAGUAUUCACAGUGCAAUGGCUUCCUUCAUGAGGGGAGCCUCUGCGCAGCCUCCCAGAGAAGUUCUGGCAGGGCUGGAGGGAAGGUGGGGCAAGGCCAGAGCCUGACCUUCCCCUUGGCAUCAGGAGCCAAGCCAGCAGAGGGCACUCAGGUGAGUGGAGGCUGUAGACGCCCGGGCUGUCAGUGCAGACCAGCAGGCCCAGGGGCCUUCUCUUCCUAUCUUUUGGGCUGCACACCUUUACAGGAAAUCCAGCCGACGCUGUCCCACCCUGUGAAUAUCAUGCUUCUCUCUCUGGAGACAAGUCCCUGCUUGUCGGUGUUGGGAUCCCUUGGCACCAGGCGGGUCCUCUGGGCACAAGGGCUCUUCCAUUCCUCAGCGCCCACCCUGCUCUCCCACAUCCCACAGGCUUCUGGGUCCCUGGCCCAGGUGGUGGCUUUGAGGGGAGUGGGAAGAGGACACAGCCCCUGGGGGCAGAUGGUCCUCAGUCAGGCUUGCCAGCCUCCCUCGAGCAGAUGGGAGCCUCCAGGGCCCACGAUAAACAUCAGCAGCGUGGGGGGGCAUCCUCCAGCCCUCUCUUAGUCAAUCCAGAGUCUGAGGGUGGAGGGCAGAGGGAUCCCAGCCUGGCUGCUCUGGUCUAGUCCUGGCAGGCAGGAGUGCUUGCUCAUGGUGGGCAGGCCACAUUCCCAGGAGAAUGGCUGGGGAGGGGUGCUGGCGGAUGCUCCCACAAUGUCUCCUCCCAUGGAGAGACUGUCCUGC